AGAGUUUGAUCAUGGCUCAGAAUCAACGCUGGCGGCGUGCCUCAGACAUGCAAGUCGAACGCGAAAGUCCCCUUCGGGGGAUAAGUAGAGUGGCGCACGGGUGAGUAACACGUAGGUAAUCUACCUUCGGGUGGGGAAUAACCCAGGGAAACUUGGGCUAACACCGCAUAAUGCAGCGGCACCACAUGGUGACAGUUGUUAAAGCGGGGGAUUUUCGGACCUCGCGCCUGAAGAGGAGCCUGCGGCAGAUUAGCUAGUUGGUAAGGUAACGGCUUACCAAGGCGACGAUCUGUAGCCGGCCUGAGAGGGCGGUCGGCCACACUGACACUGACAUACGGGUCAGACUCCUACGGGAGGCAGCAGUCGGGAAUUUUGGGCAAUGGGCGAAAGCCUGACCCAGCAACGCCGCGUGAAGGAUGAAAUCCCUCGGGAUGUAAACUUCGCAAGAAUGGGAAGAAUUAGUAGGGGUUAAUACCCCCUAUGAUGACGGUACCAUUUGUAAGCUCCGGCUAACUCCGUGCCAGCAGCCGCGGUAAUACGGGGGGAGCAAGCGUUGUUCGGAUUUACUGGGCGUAAAGGGCGCGUAGGCGGCCAGCACAAGUCGGUUGUGAAAUCUCCGGGCUUAACUCGGAAAGGUCAACCGAUACUGUGCGGCUAGAGUGCGGAAGGGGCAACUGGAAUUCUCGGUGUAGCGGUGAAAUGCGUAGAUAUCGAGAGGAACACCUGCGGCGAAGGCGGGUUGCUGGGCCGACACUGACGCUGAUGCGCGAAAGCCAGGGGAGCGAACGGGAUUAGAUACCCCAGUAGUCC
This 810-nucleotide ribosomal RNA is filed under the name uncultured bacterium. RNAcentral's name for it is "bacterial SSU rRNA". It matches the Rfam family "Bacterial small subunit ribosomal RNA", at positions 8 to 796 of the family's 1533-position model. The record is from RNAcentral.